RNAcentral lists this small RNA (561 nucleotides) under Pongo abelii (Sumatran orangutan). RNAcentral describes it as "processed transcript". Lineage: Eukaryota; Metazoa; Chordata; Mammalia; Primates; Hominidae. The record is from RNAcentral.
AGAAAAGAUGGCAGAGGGAGGGUGAACCCAGGGCCCAUCUGUGGGUAUGGGCUCCAAUUUCCUAAGCUGUGGUUAUAACCGUGGCUUCCACCUUGUCUGGCACUGGGUCCACAUCUUUUCUGAGAUCUGCUAGAAGGUCAGAGCCCUAGAGAAUAAGAGAAGCUUGCUGCUGGUGAGGGGGUAUGGCCAGGAUUCCUGGAGUCGGAAGAGCUUCAGCUUCACCAUCUUGGGAGAAGAAGGAAGAAAGUGAAAGCAAUGUGGUCCUUCUUAGUCCCAAGGACCCUGACAGAGGACACGCAGAGGAGCAGCUGGCUUGCCCGGAGUCCUCCGACCUUGACCCAAGAAUGCAGGGCCCACCCCGCAGCCUCCCCGCUGGGCUCAGCCUGGACGACUUCAUCCCUGGCCACCUCCAGUCCCACAUAGGGUCUUCCUCCCCGGGGACACGGGUGCCCGUGAUCCGGAAUGGUGGCUCCAACACCCUUAAUUUCCAGUUCCACGACCCCGCGCCCAGGACUGUGUGCAAUGGGGGCUACACAAGACGAGAUGCUUCGCAGCACCCGG